GAAAUGCGAUAAGUAAUGUGAAUUGCAGAAUUCAGUGAAUCAUCGAAUCUUUGAACGCACCUUGCGCUCCUUGGUAUUCCUUGGAGCAUGCCUGUUUGAGUAUCAUGGAAUCUUCAAAGUAAAUCUUUUGUUAACUCAAUUGGUUUCUACUUUGGUAUUGGAGGUCUUUGCAGCUUCACACCUGCUCCUCUUUGUUCAUUAGCUGGAUCUCAGUGUUAUGCUUGGUUCCACUCGGCGUGAUAAGUUAUCUAUCGCUGAGGACACUGUAAAAGGUGGCCAAGGUAAAUGCAGAUGAACCGCUUCUAAUAGUCCAUUGACUUGGACAAUACCUUUAUGAUCUGAUCUCAAAUCAGGUAGGACUACCCGCUGAACUUAAGC
Molecule: unclassified non-coding RNA, 378 nt
Filed under: plant metagenome
Description: partial contains 5.8S ribosomal RNA, internal transcribed spacer 2, and large subunit ribosomal RNA
Rfam family: 5.8S ribosomal RNA (bases 1-105)
Source: RNAcentral